Molecule: long non-coding RNA, 1227 nt
Organism: Argiope bruennichi
Lineage: Eukaryota; Metazoa; Arthropoda; Arachnida; Araneae; Araneidae
Exons: 6
Source: RefSeq, a predicted model, not a curated record
GUGGCAUUGAUACAUGAUCCAAAAUAUUGUUGUCAAGAUUCUACUACCAAGGUUCCGUAGGCCUAAUAUAGGAUUUAAAUUUUUUUGAAGCCUGGAUAUAAAAAAAAUCUCCUGAAGAUUGGUCCAUUUGUUUCAUGCCUCGUCUGUGAUUCACUUCCACUUAAUCCACAAAGAUUUCUUAUUUUGCUUUAAUUAUUUCAAGGGUUUUCCAUUAAAAGCACGGGUGUGAAGAAAGCGCCAUUCUCAUUACUGCUAUAAAUACUUUCAAAUCAACACAUUUUCUAAGCAUUAAAGAGGGCUUGAAGAAUGUUGGCAAAGAAUAUUUCAUUAAAGACUAAUAACUGUUAAUCGAUUACCAAGCCGUGAGUGAGAACUAAGUGCCACUUGUGCGGAGGUCAGGCCAUAGAUCAAAGACGUCAGUAUGUUUCAUUUGAAGAUGAAACUUUCGUAGAAGACGCAUACUUGAAAAUUAGUUUACAUUUGGGAGCAAUAAAUCUUUAAAGACAUAGAAAAGGCUGGUGAUUGAGGAGAUUGUGAAAUCAAGCUGAUUUCUUAGAAAUCGUGUCUGUUUAAUAUUUCCAUUUAAUUAUAUAUUUCAGUUUCAAAAAAAAAUAUUUUUGACAAUAUUGCGCUCAUUUUUUAAAAUUUUAAAUGCUAGUGCCCUCGAUUUUGAAGAUUGUUUUGAACUCAGAAAUUUUUUUCAUUGUACAGUAAAGCCAUUUAUCUCUCUUUUGUUAUUUUAAUCAUUCUGCUUAACAGUUUUGAGAAACAAUAGCUCCAAAAUCAGAAUUGUUUGAAUCAACAAGAAAUAAGAUUGUUGAAAAAUUGUUUGAGUCCUGCUUCGAAGGAUAGAGAAUAGUGACUUUCUUCUUAUAUAUUCAGUGUACAAAAUAUGUUUUAAAAAUAUAGAAAGAUUCAUAUUCAGUAAUAAAACUGAAAGUGCCAAAUUCUAACACGAAGAACCAAAUAUUAUAAAUUGUUAGAGUGAUUUGUAAUAACUUCAGAACCUCAUUUAAUUUCUUCCACUCGUUAAAGGAAGGAUAUAGAUAGACAGUUUAGAAAUAGUUCAGAAUUCUGUUCAAACAUCAUAUUCCUGUAUAUACAUAAUUUUGGAAAAUAGCUCAUUCGAUGAAUUAUGUAUAAUGCUUCUUCUUGAUAAAUUCAAGCAAACCUCUGAAAUAACCAUAUGUAUUAAAAUGGAAAAUUAACUUAAGAUUAAUAACAGAG